CUGCAGCCCGAGUGGUGAUCGAUUUUAUUGAGCCUAAAGCGUCCGUAGCCGGACUAGUAAACCCUUGGGUAAAUUGGGCAGCUUAACUGUCCGAAUUCCGAGGGGACUGCUAGUCUUGGGACCGGGAGAGGUCAGAGGUACUCCAGGGGUAGGGGCUAAAUCCUGUAAUCCUUUGGGGACCACCAGUGGCGAAGGCGUCUGACUAGAACGGAUCCGACGGUAAGGGACGAAACCCUGGGGCGCGAGCCGGAUUAGAGACCCGAGUAGUCC
Molecule: ribosomal RNA, 270 nt
Filed under: uncultured archaeon
Lineage: Archaea
Description: partial 16S ribosomal RNA
Rfam family: Archaeal small subunit ribosomal RNA
Source: RNAcentral